RNAcentral lists this ribosomal RNA (646 nucleotides) under uncultured Acetobacteraceae bacterium. Its description in RNAcentral is "bacterial SSU rRNA". It matches the Rfam family "Bacterial small subunit ribosomal RNA", at positions 94 to 773 of the family's 1533-position model. Lineage: Bacteria; Pseudomonadati; Pseudomonadota; Alphaproteobacteria; Acetobacterales; Acetobacteraceae. The record is from RNAcentral.
AGUGGCGGACGGGUGAGUAUCGCGUAGGAAUGUAUCCUGAGGUGGGGGACAACCCUGGGAAACUGGGGCUAAUACCGCAUGGGAGCUGAGGCCCAAAGCCUUCGGGCGCCUUGGGAGCAGCCUGCGUCCGAUUAGGUAGUUGGUGGGGUAAAGGCCUACCAAGCCUGCGAUCGGUAGCUGGUCUGAGAGGACGAUCAGCCACACUGGGACUGAGACACGGCCCAGACUCCUACGGGAGGCAGCAGUGGGGAAUAUUGGACAAUGGGCGCAAGCCUGAUCCAGCAAUGCCGCGUGGGUGAAGAAGGUCUUCGGAUUGUAAAGCCCUUUCGACGGGGACGAUGAUGACGGUACCCGUAGAAGAAGCCCCGGCUAACUUCGUGCCAGCAGCCGCGGUAAUACGAAGGGGGCUAGCGUUGCUCGGAAUUACUGGGCGUAAAGGGCGCGUAGGCGGCACUGUUAGUCAGGCGUGAAAUUCCUGGGCUCAACCUGGGGACUGCGCUUGAUACGGCGGAGCUAGAGGAUGGAAGAGGCUCGCGGAAUUCCCAGUGUAGAGGUGAAAUUCGUAGAUAUUGGGAAGAACACCGGUGGCGAAGGCGGCGAGCUGGUCCAUUACUGACGCUGAGGCGCGACAGCGUGGGGAGCAAAC